RNAcentral lists this small RNA (76 nucleotides) under Xanthomonas sp. 4461. Its description in RNAcentral is "sRNA sX9". It matches the Rfam family "Xanthomonas sRNA sX9". The record is from RNAcentral. Lineage: Bacteria; Pseudomonadati; Pseudomonadota; Gammaproteobacteria; Lysobacterales; Lysobacteraceae.
AUGUACCACUCGUACACUCCGGUUCCUCCGCGCUGUCCACACCCACCUGAAAACCGCUCGCCACGUUUUGUUGGCC